AGUGGUCAAGAAGCCAGAAAGCCUCCCAAGACCAGAGAUCUUCCCUCUUUUCUCCCACUUCUGUUGCUGCUGAGGCCUUCUUCUUGGUUCGUGCCGCCUUGGCAAUAAAUUCACACUAACGGAUUGUAAAUGGGAGACAAGUCAACGAAAAAGACUUUUGCGUUCAUCAAUAAUAAGUACCGUUAGCCCGGUCAGAGUCCAAGUGUUCCGACUUGGCCAGAUGACCAAAAGUGGCCAGUGUGACUGUCAAUAAAUUACCCAGAAGCGCACCCAUCGCAGAUGGAGAAAGAGGUUGGAACCAAGUUGGUAUUGGUACGGGAGAACGGCCAAGAACGGGAAGAGGCCGCAGUCAGAAGCCAGAAGAAGGCCAACGGGAGCCAACGGUAUAUUAUGCAAUCACAGCAUGAAUGAGACACUCUUGACCGAGUUUCCAAAGCCAGGCAAUAACGGUACCAAGACACAUGCGACAGCUGACAAGCGGGCCCCAUCCACAUCCCCAUCCCCCAACCAAGCCAAUCCACGCCAAGUUGCUGGGCCAAGCUCCCGGGAACGGGGCCCAAAGCGAAGAGCAUGGCCAAGAAGCGACUAACGGGUUCUAGGCUGUGGGCCAAGCUACAAAAAAAGAAGGCGCUGCAAAGCUGAAGAGAAAAGGCUGCGAAAGGGGAAGAGCAGGAGUACGAGCCAUACCGUAGAUGGCCAACAAGAGCUCGAAAUGCAGGGCACCCGCCAAUUAUGCAAACAAUGCAGCUGGGAAAUGCAGUAAUAAUAAAAAAGAAAU
Molecule: non-coding RNA, 778 nt
Organism: Drosophila melanogaster (fruit fly)
Lineage: Eukaryota; Metazoa; Arthropoda; Insecta; Diptera; Drosophilidae
Source: Ensembl